RNAcentral lists this ribosomal RNA (265 nucleotides) under uncultured methanogenic archaeon. RNAcentral's name for it is "partial 16S ribosomal RNA". It matches the Rfam family "Archaeal small subunit ribosomal RNA", at positions 322 to 588 of the family's 1478-position model. The record is from RNAcentral. Lineage: Archaea; Methanobacteriati; Methanobacteriota.
CCUACGGGGCGCAGCAGGCGCGAAAACUUUACAAUGCGGGAAACCGUGAUAAGGGGACACCGAGUGCUAGCAUCAUAUGCUAGCUGUCCAGGCGUGUAAAAUACACCUGUUAGCAAGGGCCGGGCAAGACCGGUGCCAGCCGCCGCGGUAACACCGGCGGCCCGAGUGGUAAUCGUGAUUAUUGGGUCUAAAGGGUCCGUAGCCGGUUUGGUCAGUCCUCCGGGAAAUCUGAUAGCUCAACUAUUAGGCUUUCGGGGAUACUGCC